GCCUUGGUAGUGUAAUGGUAGCACCCUUGCCUAGAAAGUGUGAGGCCUAGGUACGAGCUUUCACUGAGGCA
Molecule: non-coding RNA, 71 nt
Organism: Cooperia oncophora
Lineage: Eukaryota; Metazoa; Nematoda; Chromadorea; Rhabditida; Trichostrongylidae
Source: the annotation of a GenBank genome assembly